RNAcentral lists this ribosomal RNA (761 nucleotides) under Salmonella enterica subsp. enterica serovar Muenchen. Its description in RNAcentral is "partial 23S ribosomal RNA". It matches the Rfam family "Bacterial large subunit ribosomal RNA", at positions 161 to 960 of the family's 2925-position model. The record is from RNAcentral. Lineage: Bacteria; Pseudomonadati; Pseudomonadota; Gammaproteobacteria; Enterobacterales; Enterobacteriaceae.
AAUCCAUAGGUUAAUGAGGCGAACCGGGGGAACUGAAACAUCUAAGUACCCCGAGGAAAAGAAAUCAACCGAGAUUCCCCCAGUAGCGGCGAGCGAACGGGGAGGAGCCCAGAGCCUGAAUCAGCAUGUGUGUUAGUGGAAGCGUCUGGAAAGGCGCGCGAUACAGGGUGACAGCCCCGUACACAAAAGCGCAUGUGCUGUGAGCUCGAUGAGUAGGGCGGGACACGUGGUAUCCUGUCUGAAUAUGGGGGGACCAUCCUCCAAGGCUAAAUACUCCUGACUGACCGAUAGUGAACCAGUACCGUGAGGGAAAGGCGAAAAGAACCCCGGCGAGGGGAGUGAAAAAGAACCUGAAACCGUGUACGUACAAGCAGUGGGAGCACAGGUUUACCUGUGUGACUGCGUACCUUUUGUAUAAUGGGUCAGCGACUUAUAUUCUGUAGCAAGGUUAACCGUAUAGGGGAGCCGUAGGGAAACCGAGUCUUAACCGGGCGUUAAGUUGCAGGGUAUAGACCCGAAACCCGGUGAUCUAGCCAUGGGCAGGUUGAAGGUUGGGUAACACUAACUGGAGGACCGAACCGACUAAUGUUGAAAAAUUAGCGGAUGACCUGUGGCUGGGGGUGAAAGGCCAAUCAAACCGGGAGAUAGCUGGUUCUCCCCGAAAGCUAUUUAGGUAGCGCCUCGUGAAUUCAUCUCCGGGGGUAGAGCACUGUUUCGGCUAGGGGGCCAUCCCGGCUUACCAACCCGAUGCAAACUGCGAA